CCUACGGGAGGCUGCAGUCGAGAAUCAUUCACAAUGGGGGAAACCCUGAUGGAGCGACGCCGCGUGGGGGAAUGAAGGUCUGCGGAUUGUAAACCCCUGUCAUGGGGGAGCAAAUUAAAAAGAGAGUACCACAAGAGGAAGAGACGGCUAACUCUGGGCCAGCAGCCGCGGUAAGACAGAGGUCUCAAGCGGUGUUCGGAAUCACGGGGCGUAAAGCGUGCGGAGGCUGUUUCGUAAGUCGUGUGUGAAAGGCGCGGGCUCACCCCGCGGACGGCACAUGAUACUGCGAGACUAGAGUAAUGGAGGGGUAACCGGAAUUCUCGUUGUAGCCGUUAACUGCGUCGAUCUCGCGAGGAACACUCGUGGCGAAGGCGGGUUCCUGGACCUUACCUGACGCUGCGGCACGAACGCCUGGGGAGCG
Molecule: ribosomal RNA, 421 nt
Filed under: uncultured bacterium
Lineage: Bacteria
Description: partial 16S ribosomal RNA
Rfam family: Bacterial small subunit ribosomal RNA
Source: RNAcentral